CUCCACGGAAGUGCUAGCUCAUGUAGUCAGCUUCUAAUGGCGGAUCUGAUUUGAUCUCCUUCUUCAAUCACCUCAGAUCUCUUCGAUGUUAAAGAUAGAUCAGAGGAGAAUGCUAGAUGGUGAAGAAAAAUCAGAUGAAGACUCUCUUCUCUUUUGUUGUUUCCUCACCCAAAAAUCCUAGAACGAUUCUAGGUCUCUCAUCCGAGAAGACAUAGAUCUCCUCCUUUGCACAUGCCAAGAAGGUAGAAACCCACCCCAAACCUCACACCCCCAAGAAGG
Molecule: long non-coding RNA, 279 nt
Filed under: Elaeis guineensis (African oil palm)
Lineage: Eukaryota; Viridiplantae; Streptophyta; Magnoliopsida; Arecales; Arecaceae
Description: long non-coding RNA (EGUI_LNC053777)
Source: RNAcentral